AUUUACACUAGAUGGAAUCGAAUUUCCCUAAAGGGCCAGACACUAUACGAGUCAUAUAAGGGAAGGCAUUAUAGGACUCAUAUAGUGCCAGGUGUUUUGUGGGACACUAUU
Molecule: non-coding RNA, 111 nt
Organism: Pan troglodytes (chimpanzee)
Lineage: Eukaryota; Metazoa; Chordata; Mammalia; Primates; Hominidae
Product: microRNA mir-3117
Exons: 1
Source: RefSeq, marked provisional